Molecule: ribosomal RNA, 449 nt
Filed under: uncultured bacterium
Lineage: Bacteria
Description: bacterial SSU rRNA
Rfam family: Bacterial small subunit ribosomal RNA
Source: RNAcentral
GAACGCGAAGAACCUUACCUAGGUUUGACAUGCUUGGAUGCUUGCCUGGAAACAGGUUAAGCUGCUCUUCGGAGUGAAACUUGCACAGGUGCUGCAUGGCUGUCGUCAGCUCGUGUCGUGAGAUGUCGGGUUAAGUCCCUUAACGAGCGAAACCCUUGCCGUUAGUUACCAGCGGGUCAUGCCGGGAACUCUAGCGGGACUGCCGGUGUUAAACCGGAGGAAGGUGGGGAUGACGUCAAGUCAUCAUGGCCUUUAUGCCUAGGGCAUCACACGUGCUACAAUGGCCGGUACAAAGCGACGCGAGACCGCGAGGUGGAGCAAAUCGCAAAAAGCCGGCCCCAGUUCGGAUUGCAGGCUGGCAACUCGCCUGCAUGAAGUUGGAAUCGCUAGUAAUCGCGGAAUCAGCUAUGUCGCGGGGGAAUGUGUUCCUGAGCCUUGUACACGGCCGG